AGCAGCCGCGGUAAUUCCAGCUCCAAUAGCGUAUAUUAAAGUUGUUGCAGUUAAAAAGCUCGUAGUUGAAUUUCGAGAUCGGUUUAUUGGUCGUGCUAUUGUACGUACUGGUAUUACCGGUUUCUCCUUUCUGACGAACCUUAAUGCCAUUAAUUUGGUGUUUUGGGAAAUCAGGACUGUUACUUUGAAAAAAUUAGAGUGUUUAAAGCAGGCUCACGCUUGAAUACAUUAGCAUGGAAUAACGGAAUAGGACGUUUGAUUCUAUUUUGUUGGUUUCUAGGAUCGACGUAAUGAUUAAUAGGGAUAGUUGGGGGCAUUAGUAUUCAAUUGUCAGAGGUGAAAUUCUUGGAUUUAUUGAAGACUAACUACUGCGAAAGCAUUUGCCAAGGAUGUUUUCAUUAAUCAAGAACGAAAGUUAGGGGAUCGAAGACGAUCAGAUACCGUCGUAGUCUUAACCAUAAACUAUGCCGACUAGGGAUCGGAUGAUGUUAAUUUUUUAAUGACUCAUUCGGCGCCUUACG
RNAcentral lists this ribosomal RNA (521 nucleotides) under uncultured Glomus. RNAcentral describes it as "SSU rRNA". It matches the Rfam family "Eukaryotic small subunit ribosomal RNA", at positions 569 to 1092 of the family's 1831-position model. The record is from RNAcentral. Lineage: Eukaryota; Fungi; Glomeromycota; Glomeromycetes; Glomerales; Glomeraceae.